Non-coding RNA from Prunus mume (Japanese apricot), 1723 nucleotides. Lineage: Eukaryota; Viridiplantae; Streptophyta; Magnoliopsida; Rosales; Rosaceae. The record is from RefSeq and is a predicted model, not a curated record.
CAAAAAAAAAAAUCGUGUCUCUUCUCGCCGCUCGCAAAUCCUCUUCGCCGGUUCCAACUCGGCCGACUCGGUAGUCCCCGAACCUCAUCUCCUCGUUCUCCUCCACCGUCUUCUCCGGCCAUGCCGACUCCGGUCGCAGCUUCUAGAAUCUCUACGUGGGUCUUUUCAACAAAAAUUUACACCAACAAACUCAUCUUCGUUACUAAAUUAGGGUUAGGGUUGGUCCGCGUUUUGUUGAAAGAGAAUGCCCAGAAUUGCCUUGCCAGUUGCAGAACAGAAGCCAUUGACAAGGAUGCUAUUUACAGGCACUUUUCUUAGCAUGUCAAAAUUUAGUGAAGGAACUAUAUUCUGGCUUUGGAAUAAAAGAAUUACAUUUGCACAAGAGUUUCUGUCUACAAACUCCGACACCUAGCUAGAAGGUAAUGACACUAAAUUUUUGGCAACAGUUCAGUUUUUAGCCGAACUAAACCUAGCUGGAGAACUUCUAAAAGCUAAACAUCUGUUUCCAAAAAUUUAGUGUUCAAGGGCAGUGUUGUUGUGUGCAAGAUAAUCUGGCAGCCUCUAUGGUAUUGGUAAUAGUGAUAGAUCAAGUCCUUGUCCGAUUCCUCUCCCUAAUUCCGUAUACUAUCGUAGAAGAGAGUGUGGGUUUUGAUCUUCAACCCUAAUGAUUAUCCAUGGCAGCAUUUAGCUUUAGUAAUAUGCUUGGGUAAAGUGUAAGUUGAAUCUUAUUUCAAACUGAGCUUUGAACAUGUUCUUCAAGAUGGGGAAGGAAAAUUACUAGAUAACAUAUUCCUUCCCAAUACAGGCAGGCUUCUGUGUUUUUUCAGGUUUUAAAUGACUUUCAGUUGUUAGUGUAGGACUAAAUCUGUUGCAAGCAUCACAUGCAGUAUAACGUAGCGUUAGUGUACUUAAGGUUAUUUGACCAAGGCUUGGUGCUUGUAUUGACUCAGCUGUUUAUGCUUGCUAACCCUGAUCACUUAGGCGCACAGACACAAAAACCAUUUAUCCUUUGUAUAAUGAUUGAGGUUUUUAAAAAUUCUAUAGCUGUUCUUUGAGUGCACCCUUUCCUACCAUGUUUGUAUAACUUAUAUGUCAUCCUCGGAUAACAGAGUAUUUGAAAUCUUAGGGACACAUUAUCAGUAGCAUAUAGUCAUAUAUUAUGCUUCAGUAAAUUUUGCGUUGAUUGCUAUUCCAAACUGAGCUUUUAACAUGAGUGUCAAGUUACAGAAGGGAAAUUUUAUAGAGCAAAAUUUUCCUUUCGACUUAGAAACCAGAAUAUCUGAUAUUGACCUCAUAUUUCUGUAUAAAACUUGUCAAUGGGAAAGGAAUUUUCGGUUUCUAUCUAAUGUUGUAGUGAAUCCAAUAUGGAGCAUAAUGGAUGGCGGAAGGUACACAGCGCAUGAUGCUCAGAGGUAGCAUCCCUAGGAUUACAUGGUAUAUUCCACCUCAGCUGGCUUUGGAAUUUCUGAGGGACCAUUUCAAAUUUUCAAUGAAGGAUUAAGCAAUGAUAACAUGCAAGAAGUUGCUACCAUCCAUGUCUGUAGAAGUCUUUACAAAGGAGAGCAAGAGGAACUUACUGGAUUUUUUCCCAUCAUGUCCAGUUUGUUGGACAGAUUGGGGCAUUUUUCAUGUAUCAAGUAAUAAUUUGGUCGGUAUUUUGUAAUAUUUUUCAUGUUAACUGUGUAUAUAAACAUAAAAGAAUAAAGGGAGGUUUAUGUUUUCU